RNAcentral lists this ribosomal RNA (420 nucleotides) under uncultured bacterium. RNAcentral describes it as "bacterial SSU rRNA". It matches the Rfam family "Bacterial small subunit ribosomal RNA", at positions 355 to 774 of the family's 1533-position model. The record is from RNAcentral.
UAAGGAAUAUUGCUCAAUGGGAGAAAUCCUGAAGCAGCAACGCCGCGUGGAGGAUGAAGGGUCUAUGACUUGUAAACUCCUGUAAAGAAGGAAAAAAUUCCCAUUAGAUGGGAGAUGAUGGUACUUCUGGAGUAAGCCCCGGCUAACUACGUGCCAGCAGCCGCGGUAAUACGUAGGGGGCAAGCGUUGUCCGGAUUUACUGGGUGUAAAGGGUGCUCAGGCGGAUUUGUAAGUCAGAGGUGAAAUCUUACAGCUUAACUGUGAAACUGCCUUUGAUACUGCAAGCCUAGAGUAUGGAAGAGAGUGAUGGAAUAUCUGGUAUAGCAGUGAAAUGCGUAGAUAUCAGAUAGAACACCAAUGGCGAAGGCAGUCACUUGGUCCAUUACUGACGCUAAAGCACGAAAGCGUGGGUAGCAAACA